UUACUUAUAAAGCGAUCAAAAUCAUUCUAAUUAUUACGGGAAAAACAGAGAAAAUAUGCCUCAAAUUCUCAUAUUUGUGUAUGCUUUGAUCAUCUUUCUCUCUCUAAUUCUUGUUGCAACUUAUAAGAGUAUGUUAUUUUUCACAUCAUUUUCAAAUUUAUCUAAUGCACAAUAUUAUAUAACUUUUUAGUAACAUUCUCUUUUCCUUAUUUGACAAUGCAGCUGACGUGCCUUGCAAAACUAACGAUGAUUGUCCAGAGGCACCUCCUCCAAUAAUUGUGAAGUGCAUUAAUAGUAUUUGUGAUAUAUCGAGGUUACCGUAUUAAUUAGGUUUAAAAUUAAUUAUGUUAGCUUUUUUAUUUUUUUGACUUUCACUACCAGUUGAAUCUGAUUCGGGGGUCAGUUCUGGCAUCAAGUGAUUCCAGCCCUCUCCUGAUCGCAGUUGCAGGUGAUCAAACCGUUUAAUCAAAUAAUUUUAUUUGUAUUUUGUACUUUAAUAAUUUUCUUCAAAAAUUUUGUAAAGAAAACUUCAAAAUUUAUAUGUUUCUCUAACCUUUACAUUUUUUAUGACAAACUCAAAGUUGUAUUAUUAAUAUUAUAUCAUCAUCAUGCAAAG
Molecule: long non-coding RNA, 616 nt
Filed under: Trifolium pratense (red clover)
Lineage: Eukaryota; Viridiplantae; Streptophyta; Magnoliopsida; Fabales; Fabaceae
Description: long non-coding RNA (TPRA_LNC012154)
Source: RNAcentral